CCGUCUCGCCCAUGGCGGGCUUAUCCUCCCUUCGACUUGAGGCCCCGCGCGCGUCACGCCGUGGGGCCUUUUUUCGGCCCUCG
RNAcentral lists this small RNA (83 nucleotides) under Methylorubrum salsuginis. Its description in RNAcentral is "suhB". Lineage: Bacteria; Pseudomonadati; Pseudomonadota; Alphaproteobacteria; Hyphomicrobiales; Methylobacteriaceae. The record is from RNAcentral.